Molecule: ribosomal RNA, 502 nt
Filed under: uncultured bacterium
Lineage: Bacteria
Description: bacterial SSU rRNA
Rfam family: Bacterial small subunit ribosomal RNA
Source: RNAcentral
AGAGUUUGAUCAUGGCUCAGAUUGAACGCUGGCGGCAUGCCUUACACAUGCAAGUCGAACGGCAGCGGGCCUUCGGGUGCCGGCGAGUGGCGAACGGGUGAGUAAUGCAUCGGAACGUGCCAUUGAGUGGGGGAUAACGUAGCGAAAGUUACGCUAAUACCGCAUAUUCUGUGAGCAGGAAAGCAGGGGACCGCAAGGCCUUGCGCUCUGGGAGCGGCCGAUGUCGGAUUAGCUAGUUGGUGGGGUAAAGGCCUACCAAGGCGACGAUCCGUAGCGGGUCUGAGAGGAUGAUCCGCCACACUGGGACUGAGACACGGCCCAGACUCCUACGGGAGGCAGCAGUGGGGAAUUUUGGACAAUGGGCGAAAGCCUGAUCCAGCCAUGCCGCGUGAGUGAAGAAGGCCUUCGGGUUGUAAAGCUCUUUCGGUGGGGAAGAAAUUGCAUAGGCUAAUACCCUAUGUAGAUGACGGUACCUGGAGAAGAAGCACCGGCUAACUACGUG